GAACGCAUACUUUAGAGUAUGAGUGGCAGACGGGUGAGUAACGCGUGAGACAUCUACCUUACAGCCCGGUAUAAAUAUCUAUAUAGAGGCGAAAAUCUUUAUAUAUGAGUGAAUCCCGGAUAUCUUGAAUAAAAAAAAAGGCAAAGAACCGUUGUAAGAUGAGCUCGCGUAGGAUUAGGUAGUUGGUAAGGUAAAAGCUUAUCCAAGCCGAUGAUCCUUAGCUGUUCUGAGAGGAUGAUCAGCCACACUGGGACUGAGACACGGCCCAGACGCUUUCGAGCGGCAGCAGUGAGGAAUUUUGGACAAUGGGCGAAAGCCUGAUCCAGCUAUAUCGCAUGAAUGAAGAAGGCUCAAUUGGUUGUAAAAUUCAUAGUUUCAUUGUAGAUUAUGACAUUGAUGAAAUGAAUAGUCCCGGCCAACUCCGUGC
Molecule: ribosomal RNA, 427 nt
Filed under: uncultured Trebouxia photobiont
Lineage: Eukaryota; Viridiplantae; Chlorophyta; Trebouxiophyceae; Trebouxiales; Trebouxiaceae
Description: bacterial SSU rRNA
Rfam family: Bacterial small subunit ribosomal RNA
Source: RNAcentral